This 253-nucleotide ribosomal RNA is filed under the name uncultured bacterium. Its description in RNAcentral is "partial 16S ribosomal RNA". It matches the Rfam family "Bacterial small subunit ribosomal RNA", at positions 524 to 776 of the family's 1533-position model. The record is from RNAcentral.
UACGGGGGGAGCAAGCGUUGUUCGGAUUUAUUGGGCGUAAAGCGCUCGCAGGUGGUUCGUCGCGUCGUGCGUGAAAGACCCCGGCUCAACUGGGGAGGGUCGUGCGAUACGGGCGAACUGGAGGCCAGUAGGGGGAUGCGGAAUUCCGGGUGUAGUGGUGGAAUGCGUAGAGAUCCGGAGGAACACCAGCGGCGAAGGCGGCAUCCUGGACUGGUCCUGACACUCAUGAGCGAAAGCGUGGGGAGCGAUCCGG